Molecule: transfer RNA, 70 nt
Filed under: bovine gut metagenome
Rfam family: tRNA
About the family: Transfer RNA (tRNA) molecules are approximately 80 nucleotides in length.
Source: RNAcentral
CCGAUGUAGCUCAGCUGGCAGAGCACGUGAUUUGUAAUCUCGGGGUCGUGGGUUCAAUUCCCUCCAUCGG